UUUAAUGGGGUGUUGGGCAUUGUGGGGUUUGGUCCCACAGGUGGAUAGUUUCCUAUUUUUU
Molecule: transfer RNA, 61 nt
Filed under: Khawia sinensis
Lineage: Eukaryota; Metazoa; Platyhelminthes; Cestoda; Caryophyllidea; Lytocestidae
Description: tRNA-Gln
Source: RNAcentral